AGCGAACGCUGGCGGCAGGCCUAACACAUGCAAGUCGAACGAACCUUUCGGGGUUAGUGGCGGACGGGUGAGUAACACGUGGGAACGUGCCUUUAGGUUCGGAAUAACUCAGGGAAACUUGUGCUAAUACCGAAUGUGCCCUUCGGGGGGAAGAUUAAUCGCCUUUAGAGCGGCCCGCGUCUGAUUAGCUAGUUGGUUGAGGUAAUGGCUCACCAAGGCGACGAUCAGUAGCUGGUCUGAGAGGAUGAUCAGCCACAUUGGGACUGAGACACGGCCCAAACUCCUACGGGAGGCAGCAGUGGGGAAUCUUGCGCAAUGGGCGAAAGCCUGACGCAGCCAUGCCGCGUGAAUGAUGAAGGUCUUAGGAUUGUAAAAUUCUUUCACCGGGGACGAUAAUGACGGUACCCGGAGAAGAAGCCCCGGCUAACUUCGUG
This 434-nucleotide ribosomal RNA is filed under the name uncultured bacterium. RNAcentral's name for it is "partial 16S ribosomal RNA". It matches the Rfam family "Bacterial small subunit ribosomal RNA", at positions 29 to 507 of the family's 1533-position model. The record is from RNAcentral.